CCCGGCGGGGAUGGGGGGAGCAGCGGAUAUUCCUGGAUAGGAACUACGAUCGCAAGAGUGCCAGAGGUUGUUUAAGAAGCAAAACUGUUGGUGGCAACCUGAGCGCUGGAAGCCGAAGGGAGGAAGAAGGAGACGCGAAGCCGGGGCGGCGGAGCAGGGCGGCCGGCACAAAGGAGGCGGACUCGCGGCGGCAGCGUAUGCCCGCGCCGGGGGAUGCACGGCCCGCGGCCCUGCUAGACCGAAGUCCCGCACUGGCAGCUACGAAUAAAGUUUACAUUCUCCUGAGACCGCACCCCCCACCUCCCACCCAGGACCGCGCUUCUCCGCGUCCUCCUCCCCCAAACUGCACUCGGGACCCCGAGCACCAUCCCAGCCUUCCAGCCAGCACAACAAAGAGACACACCGACCGGCGAGGGUAAACAGCCGCGGCAGGGCGAGCAGGGCGGGCAGAGCGAGCGCCUCGAGAUAAGCAACUCCCGAGUCUUCCCCGCUCGCCGGAACGUAGUUUCUCCUUUUCUGUUUCAACCGGCUUUACAUUUGGAAUCUUCAUCUUCUCCCGCACCCCUCACACCCAAGGAUUUUAAACUCACCUUUACUUUCGAACUGAGAGUUGCGGUGGAUGGGAUUUUUGCCUUCUCCAGAUGGUUGAAGGUUACGAUUUUUGUUUUUGGAAACCCUACCACCUCCUUAUUUCUAUUACUAUUUUUGCAAGAAAAGUAUAAAGAGAGUUGGAGUGGAGGUGAGAUUUGUGAUCGGGAAAGCCCUGGACUCCCUCCUUCUCCGUCUUCCGCCUCUCUCUUCUGAUUAGUUCCUAUCCAGCAGCAGAUUGAAGCAGGAGAUGAUUCUUCUCAAGCACCAAAGCACGAAGAAGUUCCAGGGGUCAGGGAUCAAACCCAUGCCACAGCAGUGACCCAAGCCACAGCAGUGACAACAUCAGAUCCUUAGCCCACUUGGGCCAUCAGGGAACACCCAAAACAUUGAAUUUUACCCUAAGUAGGAAACUGCUGUGUAGUUUUGAGCAAAGAAAUGACAUGGUCUGAUUUAACUUUUAAAAAGUUCUCUCUGGCUUCAGUUUUAGAAUAGUCUGUAGCUAAACAAAAUGGAAUUUAGACCAUAUAGGAAGCUGCUAAAAAAUUCCAAGCAAAGGAUGAUCAUACUAAGCUUAGAAAUGAGGGCAGAGAUUGAAGUAGUAGAAAGUGGUCAGAUUCUUUACAUUUGAAGGUAGAGGUAAAGGAUCUGUUAAUGGAGUUUGAUAUGUAAUAUAAGAAAAAGAUUGCCAGUGCAUGACUCCAGAGUUUCUGUCCUCAGAACUAAAAGCAAAAAGUUAGCAUUUAAUACAUAGACUGCAAAAGAGUUGCUUUGGGUGAGGGAGUUGGGGUUUGGUGUAAAUCAAUAGUUUGGUAUUUAUCAAGCUGAAGAUGCUAACUAAAUACCCAGGUGGCAAUGUUAAGCACAAAAAUGACUCUAUAAGUUUGGAGUUCAGGGAAAGGUCCAGGCUGGAGAUAUAAAUUUGGGAGUUACUUGCUUAUAGUAUUUAAAAUAUGAAAUGGUAGGACUCCCCUGGUAGCUCAGCAGGCUAAGGAUCCAGCAUUGCCCAGAAACUUCUGCAUGAUGUGGGCAUGGUCAAAAAAAAAAAAAAGACAUGGUGAGAUCAUCACCAUGCCCUCUAAUACUGUGGUAACUUAGAAGCUGGAGAUAUGAGGAAAAACCAGGAAAAUAAGGGAUGGCCACUAGUGAAGAGAGUGAAAAAACAAAGAGCAAUGUUUUAAAAAUCAAAUAAAAAACAUGUUCAAGAAGGA
Sus scrofa (pig) is the source of this 1799-nucleotide non-coding RNA. The record is from RefSeq and is a predicted model, not a curated record. NCBI's taxonomy places the organism in Eukaryota, Metazoa, Chordata, Mammalia, Artiodactyla, Suidae.